GACUCUUGAACUUCCAUAACUUGAGGACAAGUUAUGGAGUCAAAAAAAAUUAUUCAAUGACACAAGACUCUUCAUUUUGUAACCAUUGCCAACUUUUAUGAGUUUUAUGAGUCUUUAAUGUGACUCUUCAUGUAACUUGAGGACAAGUUACACAAACACAUUUUAUACUCAACUCUUAGAUUAAAAUGGAUUGAAAACAACUAUUUCACUCAACAUUUCUAUUAAUCUAAGCAACUCAUAAGAACAAGAUAAUUCAAAUCAAACUUUUUCAUGUAAUUAGUCUAAACCUUAAACUAAUACAAAACAUGAAUCUAUUGACAAUUAUCUUUGAAAAUGGAUUAGCAUGAACAUUACCACAUCAAAAACAAGUUUAUAAGUUCAAAAACAACUUAGGGUAAUGUUCCUAGUCCAUUUCUAGCCAAAAAACUCGAAAAUAUGCUGUCUGGGGGUCCAACUCGUCGAGUGCAUGAACAAACUCGGCGAGUUGGAUCGAAUUCAUCACUUUUUAGGCAUGGACUCGUCGAGUCUCCUGAUGGACUCGCCGAGUCUGAUGGCCAGACAGCACCAGAUUCGUUUUUUCAGCUUCUAUUGCAGGUAUAACAAGAAAACAAGCCUAGGCUCUGAUACCACUGUUGGGUUUUGAGCAUUCUAACACUCCUAAGUGUACAUGCAACCCUAAAUACCUUGGAUCUAUGUUUUCUCUAUUAUACAUGCAAAUAAGAACUUCCAAGGUAUUAUCCUAAUCUAGCAUACAAAACAAUGACUAUAACAAGAUAGAAUACAUACCUCUUUGAUGUAGAAAGUCUUCAUGAAGCUUGAGUGCCUAGUGCCCCAAGUGUGACACCUCAAAUGGAAUCACAAUCAUCAAAACACUUGGAAUGACUUGAGAGAAUUCUACACUCUUCAAAAUCGGCUAGCCCUUUCUUCACUAUCACUAGUGGCCGAUUUUUCCUCAAUAAUAAGAUGCUUAUAUAGUUACACAAUUAGGGUAAACUCUUAAUUGUCAUGGCUUUCCAUUUCCUUGGAUCCAUGGGUACAAAUACACCAUGGAGCAUCCAUGGACCAUCCUAUGGGUUUUAGCCCAACUUGAUUAUCCAUGGAGCAUUAGCCCACUAUACAAGUAUGGAUGAUUUACACAAUCAACCCAUAUAUUUAAUUAGUCUUCUUUUGAUCACUUAAUUAAUCCUAGAUUAAUUCUUGAUCAAUACUAAUUAAAUAAUCUUAUUAUUCUUAUUAUUAAUAUACUAGAACUUAUAAUAUAUUAAUAACCAUAAGUGUCUUAUUUCUCUCAUUAUAGUCUAUCCAAGUGCAUGAUGGUAUGCAACCCAAAUGGACCAUGCCGGGUCGGGUCAAGUCUUACCAAUUAUAGUUAUGGACUUAGACAUUAAUCCAACAGUCUCCCACUUGGAUAAGUCUAAAACUAUUAUUGCGUAUGACUUCAGGAACCAACUGGCAAUCGUAGCUCUCAAAAGCUUCUGUCGAACUCUGACCUUGUAGAUGAACUCUGACCUUUGUCAAUGACUUGUCCAUUAGAUAAGGGAUCAUAUAUUCCUCCAUUCUAGAUAUCAUAUGGACUGAGACAUGGAUUAUAAUCAUUCUCUCUGUCCAUUUGUUGUUUCCCGAUUUCCGAUUUAUGACGACUGACUAAUUGAACAAAUCAAAUCAGUCCUGGCCCGGCCGAGCACUUCCAUUUGUCAUCAUCAAAUCAUCGAGGGGCCCACAGAUAUCGCUUUUAUCCCGAAGGUAAAAGGAAUGGAUAAACUUCGACUCAUAUGGCUUGUUCUACUACUUGUUGAAUCAUACACAAAGGCACGUUUUAUAGCACCGAGUUACCAAAUGCGUUUUCGUGCAAUCAAUGUACUAUCAACUCAUAGUAACAACUCAUAUCUCUAGGUUUGAAGAAUAUAAGAUAUUAUCGUCUCAUGAUCACUCGUGAUAAAAUCCAUGAAGUGAUUCCAAUGAGCGCGGGUUGAAUCCAAUACUCAGAACUUAUGAGCACUCAUGAGUGUUGUAGCCCUUUGUCCAACACCUUAGACCUCUACAAGCCAACCCAUGACAGUCUUAAUUCAUAUCUACUUCCAACAUAUGACCGACUGUGGAUGGUUUGAAUAACUUAGUCAUUCCGGAAGAAUAACCCAGUUUAUUCGGGAAGUCAAAACAUGCAAAAUGAAACACAAUAAUAAUUGAAUCCAAUAUGGUAUCAACCCUUUGAACAUAAAUAAAACACCUUUUAUUUAUCACCAUAUGAUUACACAUUAUUCAUUGUAUACUGUUUCAGCUAUCAACUUUAUUCUUGAAUUUAAAACAAUAGUUGUCCCAUGCUCCAAGCAUGUACACUAUGUUUUCUUAAACACUAGUCAUGCCACACACCAAGUAUGCAUACUAUGUUUGUCUAUGAUCUUUACUUUGUGAACUAGAUCAAUUGAACAUAACUUCAAUGAUUCUCUUUUCACACUCCCAAAUCCUUACUGCAAAUGCAAGAAUUCCAAAUUCAUGCCAUUUACUGAAAUCUGUUAGAUUCUAAACUUAUAUGCAUUGAUCCUCUUGUAAUGAUUAUGCACAAAGUCACAAAGACUUGGCAACAAUCAUUACAGAGUAUUCCAAAGGAGAUCAACUCCUUGGAAAUAUCCUUCUUGCAUUAAGUUUCCUUAAUCUUACACAGAUUGAAAAUUCUAACUUUGAAACAUUUCCAGAUUCCAUUUUGACUAUCACUUCUGAACAAGAGUUGCCUCCUUACAGAUUAUGUCAAUAUGGUCCUUCCAGAAUUAUCACUAUACUUCCAAUUGUCCUUGAGUAACCAAUCUUUGGUAAACCUUAGAUUGUCCUCGACAAUUGUUUAAUCCUUUUAGUCAUAUCCAGUUCUAAACCUUUUCCCUUCUUAAUGCCCCAGGCAUUUGGAAAAUUUUAGAACGGAUGAAUAUAGCACAUGUAAUCGAUCCUAUAUCCGAAGCAUAUGGGACACGAUUCAUGAUGUCUUACAUAAAGACUAAACCAGUCUUUUGCUAUAAUAUUUCCAUUUCAAUUUGCCAAGUUCUCAUAAUUCAGAUUAUGAAAAGGGAUGCCGUAAUCAUAAUCGAAUUUUAGAACGCAAAUAAUGGACCCAUAUACAGAAUUUCCUUAUGUUGAGCCAUUCCAACAUGAAAUUCAUAUAUAUCCUUGACUAAAUGAUUAAAACCUCACGAUCUAAGCUUAUAGAUUUGAGAUGAAGCAUAAUUUCCUCUCCCUUAAUUAUAGCAAAACAACUUUUUCCCAAUUGAAACUUUUGUUUUCUAUAAUUAACAUUGCUAACUUGCAAUACUUAUCAUAAUUAUCAUGCUCCCACUAACAUGAUGAUUAUUAGCAUAACACUUAUGCUCCCACUAGCUUUGACAUGUACUCAGAAAUCAGCUGGACAGUCUGAAAUUUAGAUUCAUACACCCUUUCCGUAGAUAGCUCACCUGUGUGUCUAAGCAAUUUCAAGAACCAUGAAAAGGGAUACCGUAAUCAUGGUCUCAAUUGCUUAGGCAUUUGCCAUUUCUCACAAGUCCAUGUUAGUGUGCCGGUUAACCACACGCGCUCCACUAACGACUUUUGAAAAUGCAAAUAACACAAUUGAUAUCUUCGUAAAAUCUACUUAGUGAAAGCGUUUCCUCACCAUCAUUUUCAUGAAUCGGAGAGAAACCUUAUGACACUUAGAUUUAUAUGGUGUAUGAGUUCCUACCCAUAUGAAUUUGUCAAACCAUAAUCACAAGACAAAGAUAAUGACAAAUCCAAAACCAUAUGGAUUGAACUCAAUCUUAACUUCUUGCCACCUGGCAGCUCAAGGGCCUGCCAUUGCUUCCAAGUUGUUGUGCAACAAAUUGAGAACUCUAAGAACUCAUAUGCAAAACCAACUUUAACUGGAAUGGGCACAGAAUAUGUCAACACGAUAGGUUAUGAACCUCAAGUCGUGUGCUAGUGAAGAACUUUAGGUUUUAUUCUUGAUUAUUUCUUGAGACUUUCAAGACCUUUAAGACUCCCACUGUCCUCUUGACAUAUAAGACUCCCUUGUCAAACAUCCAAGAGAUAGUGCGGAUUCUAAUCAAGAAAAACACUUUACCCAAUUGGCCUAAGUUGGUCUUUGUUUUAUCCAAAACAUCACAACUUACCAAUUUCAAAUGUACAAGAGUAGAAAACUUUUACUCUUACAUUUGACAAGUGUUUUAAACCUUCUUUAAGACAUGUCACUCAAAUGACAAUCUUGGAGUAUGACUCUAAGACUUGUAUUGGAACGAAGUAUGACUCAUCUUCUUGAUUUAACCAUUUCAACAAUUCAAGUUCCUCUUCUUAGUCAUAAGAAUGCACUAAGAUUUCCUUAGAGAACUAAUUUUGAUAUGGUUUCUUAAUCAUUAAGAUGAUCACAAAACUGAUACUAAAGUACUCUCCCAUCUUUUCAGAUUUGAGAAACUUUUAUCCUUCUGCCUUAUUUGAUUCUUCUUAUCGAUCUUUAGUGGUGGACUUAAUCAGUGCACAAGAAUGUGUACUCGAUCCCUAAGUCCUUUACUUGACUCACACAUCCAUGUGAACAAGUAAUUAGUCUUAAUUUUCCAAAACUUGAAAGUUCUCAUUCAUCAUGCUAUACAACUUGCAUGAUUCCAAGUUCCGGUCCAAUUGAAACUUGGGUGAUGAGAAUCUUUCCUUAUUUGGUAAAUUUAGACAUUACCACAAAUGAAAGAAUCAAUUUCAUACUUCCACUCUUGCUACUAAUGGAAUCUUAUAAGCAACAAAAAUUUCCACAGAUGCCAUUGUAAGGAUAUUUUAAAAUAAAUAAAAUCAAAAAUUUCCUUUUAUUUUAAAACUUUGCGGAAAAACUAUCCUUACAAUCCAUAUGAAAACUUGUUGUUAUCUAUUCCUAAGCAAUAUCUCAUAACUCCUAAGAAGUAGCUCAAGAAUCCGAUUUUUCAAACUAUGCGAUAGAAAUCCAUCUAUGCGAUCAGAUUCAGCAUAUUCUUCCUUUAAGUUUCUUCACUUUCCUUUGAUUCUUAAACCAUCACCAUGUGACCCAGUCACAUCAUGUAUCAAGAAUCUCAGAAUAGAAACUUAACAGAGUUAGAUAGUGGAUUUUACCUGAAGUAGAGUCAAACUUAUUGACUUUAACAUCCUUAGGUAAAUUUGGCAGCUUCGCAACCAAUGCCCUUUCUUUGGCAAUACAAACAUAUGGACCCUUUGAUAAUGGUACACAGGACUAUCACAGACUUAGCUUUUCUCUUUACCAUUUGGUCAACCGAGUUGACUAUAGCCGAUCCCUUUCCAUUGGGAAGAGAAUGCUUUACUGGAUAUCCAAUGUCAUCAUUGUCAAUGUCCAUAAAGUUUUAGGAAGUUGAUCUUAGCAAAUAGAUAAGAUCAUUAAGGGUCUUGUCAUAGUCUGUUUCAUAGGUGUCCCAAAGGAACUCACUAUGUGACUUAGAAAGUGGUUGAACCACCAACUUUCUCAAGACUUUGACACCCAACUCUCCCGGCUUGUCAAUAUGUGACUACAUCUCCAAGAUGUGACCACACCUAGACCUUGCCUUGCCAAUAGGGCCUGAGUGACCUUAAACUUUUCAAGAACUUGUGGGUUAGGGAGAAUAAUUUGAAGAGGUGAAGAAGUAUGAUAUCCAUGGGACAUCAUCUUCAUUAGGAAACCUUGUUUCAAGAGAUUUGGGAAGAUCAUAGGUGUCUAAACCAGACAUCUUUUGGGAGAUAUUCAAGAUAGUUGAUUUAAAGUCCUUAAUAUGACACCCAAUAUGAAAUAUUAAGGCUAGGACCCAACAAACUAUUUUAUAACUUAGAAGAGGUAUGCCGUAAUCCAAGCUAUAAAAUAUUUGAAGGUAGGUGAAUGACGAUUCACCAAUUUCCACCAAGAUAAACGAAAUGUAUUAUUAGGUUUUAAUUGGUUUUGAAACUCCUAGAUCUUUGAGAUUCAUUGAACUUUUCAAAGGCAUGUUUCAAUCUCGAGUGUGCCCUUCAGGUUUUGUGACUGGGAUGCCGAGGAUCACAAAACAAGGUGUGAAGUAACCAUGCAAAUCACUUGGUACCCUUAAUAAAUUACCCCUCAAUCGAUGUGCCGGUUAACCACACACGCUCCAUCGAUACUAUGAUAAAUAUUAAGUCACCCUUUACCUACCUUGUUAAGUCCAAGUUAGUGUGCCGGUUAACCACACACGCUCCACUAACGACUUAGACAAAGUGUAAAGUGUAAUUUCAUGGAUUAGCACCUUAUUCACAUUUUUCCUAAGUAACUAAGAUUGGGUAUUAUUAAGAGUUUAGUUACUUAGUAUUAUCAUUAAUACUUUUAAUGAAGGGAGAAUUCUAGUCCUGUCAAACCCGUUCGGCUAACGACCCUCCACCAGUCAAGCAAGCGGUGGGUGAGAGUGGACACCCAUUAAGUUGCCAUUUUAUAGGCAACAACCUUAUACCCACCUUAUAGACCGGCUUCGUGAAUGAGGCGUACUAGCGGUAAGACUGACUUUACUCUUAUACAUAUAUAUAUAUUAUUAACUUAUAAUAUUAUAAAGUAUAAGGGUUGAAUUUUAACUUUUAAAAUUCUAAGGGCUAACUUGGAAUUAAAGUAUUCAUAAGAGAAAACUUUACAAAUUCCAAAACUUGAGGGCAAGUUUUGAAACUAUUCAAAACUAAUUAAUUCCAUAACUUAUGUGUUUAAAGUAGUUUUAAUCCAAAAACUCUUCAAGUUCCAUAACUUGAGGACAAGUUAUGGAAGACUUUAAACUAAUAAAAGAAUUAACUUUUCUUUAUUUUAUAACUUAUGGAAUUAAUUAAGGUUACACCUUUUUUUUUUUUUAUUUUAUUUUAUUAAAUGAAGAGACUCUUGGUCCUCCAUAACUUGAGGACAAGUUAUGAAAUCAUAACACCAUUUAAUUAGAACUAGACUCUUCAUUUUUGUAACCUUUGCCAACUAUAAUGAGUUUUAUAAAACUUAAAUGUGACUUUUCAUAUAAAUUGAGGACAAGUUACAAACACACAUUUUAGAAUCACCUCUUAGAUUAAUUUGGAUUGAAAACAACUAUUUCACUCAACUUUUCAAUUAAUCUAAGCAACUCAUAGAACAAGAUAAUUUAAAUCAAACUUUUUCAUGUAAUUAGUCUAAACCUUAAACUAAUACAAAACAUGAAUCUAUUGACAAUUAUCUUUGAAAAUGGAUUAGCAUGAACAUUACCACAUCAAAAAACAAGUUUAUAAGUUCAAAACAACUUAGGGUAAUGUUCCUAGUCCAUUUGUAGCCAAAAAACUCAAAAAUAUGCUGUCUUGGGGUCCAACUCGUCGAGUGCAUGAACCAACUCGGCGAGUUGGAUCGAAUUGAUCACAUUUUAGGCAUGGACUGGCCGAGUCCUCUGAUGGACUCGCUGAGUCUGAUGAUCAGACAACAACAAAUUCGUUUUUUUCAGCUUCUAUUGCAGGUAUAACAAGAAAACAAGCCUAGGCUCGGAUACCAUUGUUGGGUUUUGAGCAUUCUAACACUCCUAAGUGUACAUGCAACCCUAAAUACCUUGGAUCUAUGUUUUCUCUAUUAUACAUGCAAAUAAGAACUUCCAAGGUAUUAUCCUAAUCUAGCAUACAAA
This 7577-nucleotide long non-coding RNA is filed under the name Lactuca sativa (garden lettuce). Its description in RNAcentral is "long non-coding RNA (LSAT_LNC001219)". The record is from RNAcentral. Lineage: Eukaryota; Viridiplantae; Streptophyta; Magnoliopsida; Asterales; Asteraceae.